This 201-nucleotide ribosomal RNA is filed under the name uncultured bacterium. RNAcentral's name for it is "partial 16S ribosomal RNA". It matches the Rfam family "Bacterial small subunit ribosomal RNA", at positions 1300 to 1500 of the family's 1533-position model. The record is from RNAcentral.
GUAGUCUGCAACCCGACUACAUGAAGCUGGAAUCGCUAGUAAUCGCGAAUCAGAAUGUCGCGGUGAAUACGUUCCCGGGUCUUGUACACACCGCCCGUCACACCAUGGGAGUCGGAAAUGCCCGAAGUCAGUGACCCAACCGUAAGGAGGGAGCUGCCGAAGGUGGAGCCGGUAACUGGGGUGAAGUCGUAACAAGGUACC